CAGCACGGGAGCAAUCCUGGUGGCGAGUGGCGAACGGGUGAGUAAAGUAUCGGAACGUGCCCAGUCGUGGGGGAUAACGCAGCGAAAGUUGUGCUAAUACCGCAUACGAUCUAUGGAUGAAAGCGGGGGAUCGCAAGACCUCGCGCGAUUGGAGCGGCCGAUAUCAGAUUAGGUAGUUGGUGGGGUAAAGGCUCACCAAGCCGACGAUCUGUAGCUGGUCUGAGAGGACGACCAGCCACACUGGAACUGAGACACGGUCCAGACUCCUACGGGAGGCAGCAGUGGGGAAUUUUGGACAAUGGGCGCAAGCCUGAUCCAGCAAUGCCGCGUGCAGGAUGAAGGCCUUCGGGUUGUAAACUGCUUUUGUACGGAACGAAAAGGCUCUGGUUAAUACCUGGGGCACAUGACGGUACCGUAAGAAUAAGCACCGGCUAACUACGUGCCAGCAGCCGCGGUAAUACGUAGGGUGCGAGCGUUAUUCGGAAUUACUGGGCGUAAAGCGUGCGCAGGCGGUAAUGCAAGACAGAUGUGAAAUCCCCGGGCUUAACCUGGGAACUGCAUUUGUGACUGCAUUGCUGGAGUGCGGCAGAGGGGGAUGGAAUUCCGCGUGUAGCAGUGAAAUGCGUAGAUAUGCGGAGGAACACCGAUGGCGAAGGCAAUCCCCUGGGCCUGCACUGACGCUCAUGCACGAAAGCGUGGGGAGCAAACAGGAUUAGAUACCCUGGUAGUCCACGCCCUAAACGAUGUCAACUG
This 753-nucleotide ribosomal RNA is filed under the name uncultured Variovorax sp. RNAcentral's name for it is "bacterial SSU rRNA". It matches the Rfam family "Bacterial small subunit ribosomal RNA", at positions 70 to 818 of the family's 1533-position model. Lineage: Bacteria; Pseudomonadati; Pseudomonadota; Betaproteobacteria; Burkholderiales; Comamonadaceae. The record is from RNAcentral.